Molecule: ribosomal RNA, 301 nt
Filed under: uncultured bacterium
Lineage: Bacteria
Description: partial 16S ribosomal RNA
Rfam family: Bacterial small subunit ribosomal RNA
Source: RNAcentral
CAGUAGCCGCGGGAAUACAGAGGGUGCGAGCGUUAAUCGGAUUUACUUGGCGUAAAGCGUGCGUAGGCGGCUUUUUAAGUCGGAUGUGAAAUCCCUGAGCUUAACUUAGGAAUUGCAUUCGAUACUGGGAAGCUAGAGUAUGGGAGAGGAUGGUAGAAUUCCAGGUGUAGCGGUGAAAUGCGUAGAGAUCUGGAGGAAUACCGAUGGCGAAGGCAGCCAUCUGGCCUAAUACUGACGCUGAGGUACGAAAGCAUGGGGAGCAAACAGGAUUAGAUACCCCAGUAGUCCCUGUCUCUUAUAC